This 268-nucleotide ribosomal RNA is filed under the name uncultured bacterium. RNAcentral's name for it is "partial 16S ribosomal RNA". It matches the Rfam family "Bacterial small subunit ribosomal RNA", at positions 334 to 616 of the family's 1533-position model. The record is from RNAcentral.
GCUUCCUACGGGACGCAGCAGUGGGGAAUAUUGGGCAAUGGGCGCAAGCCUGACCCAGCAACGCCGCGUGAAGGAAGAAGGCUUUCGGGUUGUAAACUUCUUUUAUGAGGGACGAAAGAAAUGACGGUACCUCAUGAAUAAGCCACGGCUAACUACGUGCCAGCAGCCGCGGUAAUACGUAGGCGGCAAGCGUUAUCAGGAUUUACUGGGUGUAAAGAGCGUGUAGGCGGGACUGCAAGUCAGAUGUGAAAACUAUGGGCUCAACCCA